This 422-nucleotide ribosomal RNA is filed under the name uncultured archaeon. Its description in RNAcentral is "partial 16S ribosomal RNA". It matches the Rfam family "Archaeal small subunit ribosomal RNA", at positions 323 to 746 of the family's 1478-position model. The record is from RNAcentral.
CUACGGGUGGCUCCAGGCGCGGAACCUUUACAAUGCACGCAAGUGUGAUAAGGGAACCCUCAGUGCUCAUGUAUUACAUGGGCUUUUGCCAAGAGUAAAUAUCUUGGCGAAUAAGUGGUGGGUAAGACUGGUGCCAGCCGCCGCGGUAACACCAGCGCCACGAGUGGCAACCACGUUUAUUGGGCCUAAAGCGUCCGUAGUCGGUUUGGUAAAUCUCUUGUGAAAUCGUCAGGCUUAACCUGACGGCGCGCUCGAGACACUGCUUUACUUGAGACCGGGAGGAGUCAGAGGUAUUCCUGAGGGAGCGGUAAAAUGUGAUAAUCUCAGGAGGAUCACCUAUGGCGAAGGCAUCUGACCAGAACGGAUCUGACGAUGAGGGACGAAGGCUAGGGGAGCGAUCCGGAUUAGAUACCCUCGUAGUC